This 421-nucleotide ribosomal RNA is filed under the name uncultured bacterium. RNAcentral describes it as "partial 16S ribosomal RNA". It matches the Rfam family "Bacterial small subunit ribosomal RNA", at positions 360 to 773 of the family's 1533-position model. The record is from RNAcentral.
AAUUUUGGACAAUGGGGGAAACCCUGCUCCAGCCAUCCCGCGUGCAUGAUGAAGGCCUNUGGGUUNUNAAGUACUUUUGGCAGAGNAGAAAAGGUAUCUCCUAAUACGAGAUACUGCUGACGGUACCUGCAGAAUAAGCACCGGCCAACGACGUGCCAGCAGCCGCGGUACUACGUAGGGUGCAAGAGUUAAUCGGAAUUACUGGGAGUAAAGCGUGUGUAGGCGGUUCGGAAAGAGAGAUGUGAAAUCCCAGGGCUAAACCUUGGAACUGCAUUUUUAACUGCCGAGCUAGAGUAUGUCAGAGGGGGGUAGAAUUCCACGUGUAGCAGUGAAAUGCGUAGAGAUGUGGAGGAAUACCGAUGGCGAAGGCAGCCCCCUGGGAUAAUACUGACGCUCAGACACGAAAGCGUGGGGAGCAAAC